AUGGCGGCCGCGGCGGCAUCCUCCUCCGCCAUUUCUCCCCUCCCUUCUCCUUCCUCCUCGCAGCCCCUCUUCCUCCUCCUCCUCUCCAGGCCGCCGACACCAUCCCGCGUCCGCCUCCGCCUCCGCCUCCACCUCCACCUCCGACACACGCACCUCCUCCCCGUCCGAUCCCGCCCGCAUCGAGCCUCCACCUCCACCCGCUGCUGCUCCUCCUCCGCCGCCGCGUCCUACAACGGCUGGGCCGACCUCCCUGCCGCCGACGACCCGCUGGGCCUCCCCUUCCUCCGCAUCACGCAAUCCCUCGCCGCCGCGCCCUACGGCCUCCCCCUCCUCCUCCUCCCCGUCGCCGCGCUCUCCCUCUCCCGCCUCCCGCCCGCCCCGCUCCUCGCCGCCGUCUUCGCCGCCGGGUUCGCCACCGCCAGGCACCUCGCCCCCGGCGCCCCCUCCAGCCACUGCCUCGCCGCCCUCCUCGCGGAUCUCGACGCCCGCCUCCUCUCCCUCAAGGACCGCCUCCUGGCCGACGACGACGGCGACGACAGGGGCCGCCCCGUCCUCGAGUCCCUCGACCGCGCCCGCGAUGCGCUCCUCGAGUUCGCGGCCGCGGCGGCCGGCCCUGCCCAGACCAACGGCGGCCCCGCCCCGGGAGACGCCGCGCUGGGCGAGGUGGCCAGGGAGGUCGCCGGUUACGUCGGGGGCUGGGCCAAGGCCGCCCUGCGGGAGCUCAGCUUCGCCUCGCCGCGGAAGAAGCCCGCCAAGGCCGUCGCCCCUGAUGCCGCCGCCGCCGCUACGGCCGAUGCCAAGAGUAAUUCAGGCUCUGGUGUAGCUCAUGCCCAGCAAGGGGAUGGGGAACACGAGCCGGCUGAUUCAACGGCCGCCGGAAGUGCCCGGCCGCUCGACAUGCUGCCGUUCGAUGGCAAGGAUGCUGCUGCCAAUGGGUUUGAGGAUGCCGGGUUCAGUUCUGAGAGUGGGCAGGAAGACGACGACCGGCUGGAGAGGCUGGUGUCCAAGCACAGGCAUGGCCACGGCAGCAGGGUGCGAAAUGAUGGUCCCUUUGAAGAAGGCGGCAGGGUGAGGAGCGACGCUCGCUUUGAAGAAGGCGGCAGGUUCGCCGCCGCUGAAUCCGCCGAGUCCUCUUUGCUGGAGAGGACGCUCGAGAUCCGGGACAGGUCGUACAGGCUGAAGAUCGAGCGCCGCGACGGCGGUGAGAGCCGAGCGAGUGGAGCACGGGGGAUGCCAAUUGAUGAAUUUGUGGGCAGUGGCGCCUCCAGUGUUGAUGAGCAACCACUUACAGAUGAUGAUGAGGGUGGUGGUGCUGCCAUGGGUUCAGACGCUGAAGAGUUCAGCCGCAACGUUAAGGAGGCUGCCGAGAUCUUGAGGAAGGCGAGGGAAUGCAUGAUGGCCAGGGACGACGAAGAGGCCGCAGACACGUUGCUGUACAGGUCGGCAAGGCUUCUGUCCACCGCCGUGGCAUUGAGGCCGACAAGCCUGGUAGCGGUCGGUCAGCUAGGGAACACUUACCUCCUCCAUGGAGAGCUGAAGCUCAAGAUUAGCCGCGAGCUGAGGACGCUGCUGGCCAACAGCGGGGCUUAUCUGAAUGGAAGAGAGCGCGUCUCACAGUCCAGGAAGCUGGACAGAAGAAUCCUUAACAGAGAGAGCAUUUCUUCAGCGCUAGUGGGCGUUUGCGAGGAGUGUGAGAGCCUCCUUGUUGAGGCUGGGAGAAGCUAUAGGACGGCUGUGUCAAUUGAUUCGGGUGACGUCAAGGCGCUGUACAAUUGGGGACUGGCGCUUAUCUUUCGUGGCCAACUGCUCGCCGACAUCGGACCGGAAGCAGCAGUUGAUGCUGACCGGGUGUAUUUGGCUGCAAUCGACAAGUUUGAUGCCAUGUUAUCCAAAAGCAACACUUAUGCUCCAGAAGCUCUCUACAGAUGGGGCAGCGCGCUGCAGCAGCGAUCCCAGUUGCGGUCUCGGAACAACAAGGAGAAGAUAAGGCUGCUGGAGCAGGCAAAGAGUCUGUUUGAAGACGUUCUGUAUGUAGAGGGCAACAACAAGAUGGUACGGGAAGCACUGUCCUCGUGCAUAUCAGAGCUUAACUACCAUGGACGAUGGCUACAGUGA
This 2115-nucleotide ribosomal RNA is filed under the name Triticum aestivum (bread wheat). Its description in RNAcentral is "partial small subunit ribosomal RNA". The record is from RNAcentral. Lineage: Eukaryota; Viridiplantae; Streptophyta; Magnoliopsida; Poales; Poaceae.